AUUGAACGCUGGCGGCAUGCCUUACACAUGCAAGUCGAACGGCAGCACGGGGGCAACCCUGGUGGCGAGUGGCGAACGGGUGAGUAAUACAUCGGAAUGUACCCAGUAGUGGGGGAUAACUAGUCGAAAGAUUAGCUAAUACCGCAUACGCACUAUGGUGGAAAGCGGGGGAUCGCAAGACCUCGCGCUAUUGGAGCAGCCGAUGUCCGAUUAGGUAGUUGGUGGGGUAAAAGCCUACCAAGCCUGCGAUCGGUAACUGGUCUGAGAGGACGACCAGUCACACUGGGACUGAGACACGGCCCAGACUCCUACGGGAGGCAGCAGUGGGGAAUUUUGGACAAUGGGGGAAACCCUGAUCCAGCAAUGCCGCGUGUGUGACG
RNAcentral lists this ribosomal RNA (380 nucleotides) under uncultured bacterium. Its description in RNAcentral is "bacterial SSU rRNA". It matches the Rfam family "Bacterial small subunit ribosomal RNA", at positions 30 to 410 of the family's 1533-position model. The record is from RNAcentral.